MicroRNA precursor from Anolis carolinensis (green anole), 90 nucleotides. Lineage: Eukaryota; Metazoa; Chordata; Lepidosauria; Squamata; Anolidae. The record is from Ensembl.
GUCCCAGCUAGGGUAGACCUAUUGAAUCAGUGUGUUAAGUGUUUACUCGCCAUUCAACAGCUGAUUCAUUGGAUCUACUCUGGUUGGUUU